Molecule: transfer-messenger RNA, 373 nt
Filed under: Sulfurovum sp.
Lineage: Bacteria; Pseudomonadati; Campylobacterota; Epsilonproteobacteria; Campylobacterales; Sulfurovaceae
Rfam family: transfer-messenger RNA
About the family: Bacterial tmRNA, also known as 10Sa RNA or SsrA, is named for its dual tRNA and mRNA-like properties. Its role is to liberate the mRNA from a stalled ribosome.
Source: RNAcentral
GGGAGUGACUAGGUUUCGACUGGAGUAGUCGGGGCCAUGUGCAUGUCGGACUGAGCAUUCCGUUAUACGGCUCAAACGCGAAUAAACGCAAACAAUACAGAUUACCGUCCAGCUUACGCAGUAGCGUAAGUCUAACCCCGACCACGUCGGAGGACUGCCUCGCCGAAGAGUUCCAUCUUACUCGGACUAUGAGGUAUCACAUCUGAUGGAUAUGCAUUAUAAAAGCUAUGUUAUAGUGUGAGAAUUUUAGCUGGUCUUGCCAAGCUUGGGGUGUUGUGCUAAGCAGGAUGAAUUUAAACAAUACCGACUAAGCAUGUAGAGUCAUGGUUCUAUCUAUUUUAGGACACGGGUUCAAUUCCCGUCGCUUCCACCA